Molecule: RNA transcript, 2510 nt
Organism: Salarias fasciatus (jewelled blenny)
Lineage: Eukaryota; Metazoa; Chordata; Actinopteri; Blenniiformes; Blenniidae
Gene: tax1bp3
Gene name: Tax1 (human T-cell leukemia virus type I) binding protein 3
Exons: 5
Source: RefSeq, a predicted model, not a curated record
AUCGCGGUGACGUCAUCCGGGAAGCAUUUGGUUCGGGUUCGUCCCGCUGUAACAGAUGUCGAGGGCCGGGAAGUUGUCCCCCUGAGAAACGCCUCGCUUUUCCUUGUUUUUGUGCUGGGGGAAAAAAACCCACUGCUUUACUACAAGUUUCUUCGCCUUGAGCGCCUCAGCGAGCCCACAGCCAUGUCUUUCGUCCCAGGCCAGCCGGUGACUGUUGUUACGCAACGAAUUGAGAUCCAGAAAUUGCGGCAAGGAGAUAAUCUGAUCUUGGGUUUCAGCAUCGGAGGAGGGAUUGAUCAGGACCCUGCGCAGAAUCCUUUCUCUGAGGACAAGGCUGAUAAAGGCAUCUAUGUGACCCGGAUAUCACCAGGAGGACCAGCUGAUGUUGCAGGUUUGAUGAUGGGAGACAAAAUAAUGCAGGUGAAUGGUUGGGAUAUGACCAUGAUGACUCAUGACCAGGCUCGCAAACGACUCACAAAGAAGAACGAGGAUGUGGUGCGACUUCUUGUGACCAGAAAGUCUUUAGAAGAAGCUGUCAGACACUCGAUAGGCUCUUACUCCAAACAGUGACGUGGUGAUACUACAGCUCAUAAAGAUGCAAUAUCAAGGGACUGAACACACACACACACACACACACACACACACACACACACACACACACAGUAUAUUGACUCCCCAACAUUCAGAGGGUGUUUGAAGCGUGGCCUUUAUAAAUACAUCAGUGCAAAAAAAAAAAACCCACUAAAUACUGUCUUCCAAAGCACAGAGUUCAAAAUAUGCUGAAUCUGGAUGCGUCCGUUCUUACAUAUUUAGUUUUGUUCUUAGAAAUACUAAUUACCCCUGUUCCUAUUGAUUUAGCAUAUUCAAAUGGAACUGACAAAAGAGGUAAACUAGGUGAAAAGCUGAGGCAACUACUGACUUUUAAAAAGUUCAGAUUUUGCUGUGGGACAACUGCGGAGGAUAAAACAAUGUCAGGCUGGGCUGAAAUUAAUUUCUGAAAUGUGCUUUUUAGAUAGAUUCUAGUCUGAAAGAUCUUUGUCACACCUCUAUCCGUUGAGAGAGGAGAUAUGGGAACAAUGAUAUCAGGUGUUGGGAUCAUUCCUCGGAAACGUUUUUAAUCCUUUUUCACCUGUACUUGACCAAAGUGGGACACUGGAUACACCAACAACAGCUCACUGCUGUUGAUUGUCUCUUUCACGUUAAGAUUUGCCUUUCAUUUAAAGGAGAGAACCAAUGUUUUGUUUUCAAAAGUCACAGCAUUCAAAGCCAAAGUGAAAGUUCAUGUCCUGCCACACAGUCAGCAUAAUGUAAUACAGUGUUUUUUGUUCUACGAUAUUUUUUCCCCUUAAAUAACGGUACAACAUAUAGUACAAACUAUUGUAAACUACACUGUUUUGAUUUAUACUUUUUCACUAAUUAUCAGUUAACUGAUGCAUGUCUCUAAUCUGUUAUUUUUUUGUUGAUUUUAUGCAGUAAAGAGUCAGCAUUUCUCUGCAUCUGCUAAUCUGAGAUGUUUUUCUUUGUUUCUUUUCCUAUGAUGCUCCACAAUCGGGCUCAGUGGCUGAAACUUGUUUUGGAAGAUGCCUAUUAUGCAAAAUAUGGUCAUUUUAUUCUUUUACUGAUUAUCACCACUUCUGCUGAACACUGUAAGAGAAAAAAUGAUCCAUCAUUAAUUUGUUGUUUUUGCUGGAAGAACAGUGUCACACUGGAAUCUCAUUCACAUUGAUUGUAAAAUGUUUUGCAGGUCUUCAUUGCCAAUGACCAGAAUGCAAGCUGUAAACCUAAACCAAACAACAAUGAAUGUUUAAUUAUUUGAACUGUGCAUCUUUAAAUGAACACUCCAUACCACUAACUAAUGACUUGUUUCUUUUUUUAAGAGACUUUAAAUCCUAUCAUGCAGUUCUUUUACUUGUGAGGGAAUGCAGACUGCAUAAAAGCACCUACCAAUGGAGUUCAUGACAUAUUGUCUCGACCCAUCACCACCACGCAAAGCACUGUUUUUGUUUUGUUUUGUUUUGUUUUUUCCUCUGUACUGUUCAAAAUUACUAAUAUUAUAUAUAGGAUGUCGUUGCAUUUUGCAGUCAUUGCAUGCUGGCCAAACAGUGACGAGUCAGCCUGACAAUAACUAGACUGAGAAUAACUGUGCUGUUCCCAGAAUGAUUCCUAGAGUCACCAGACCACAGAAAGUAACUUGUAGUGGAACUACAACAAUAGUGACUGUGUGACCUGGUGGGAUCUUGUCAUACAAACAAGAAACAAACAAAAGUUGUUUCAUUAACAACAAGAACAAGACAUGUGCACGGACAAGUUGUAUUCUACAGGUUCACUCAAGUACAAGUCUUUUUUAUUAUCUUAAGGCUCUUUCUCAUAUUGGUUUACAAGAUGUUUCAUGUACUGUAAGUGUUCAAGAGAGGACUUUCAUUUAAGGACAUUCUGAAUUUUCUCCUUAAAACAACAACAAAUGUCCUUUUAUUUUGGUGUAAGAGCAAUAAAUGUAUGCAUACUGAUGA